GCCAACGUGGGACAAUGGUACUCCGGCGGUCUUGAGAACCGCUUUCCGUAAGGAUCUCCCGGUUCGAUUCCGGGCGUUGGCG
Molecule: transfer RNA, 82 nt
Filed under: Candidatus Pacearchaeota archaeon
Lineage: Archaea; Nanobdellati
Description: tRNA-Ser
Rfam family: tRNA
About the family: Transfer RNA (tRNA) molecules are approximately 80 nucleotides in length. Their secondary structure includes four short double-helical elements and three loops (D, anti-codon, and T loops).
Source: RNAcentral